UUUUUGUUGCUUUGUUACAUGAGCCCUAGGACAUAAACAUACUUUGUAAGAAGUGGCAAUGGCUGGGACGAUAACAUAACUGAGAAGGCAAGAAAUGCACUGAUUUGAAAAACAUUUUAAAGGUUGACUUUGUUCUCCCAAGUGACCAAUUCUCACAGGUUUAUAAUAAGAGAAGAAAAGUGACCACAUCCUUAAAAAUUCCAAGGAAGAACACUAAUUGGUGAGACUCAUGGCCUGGGCCUGCUGUGAUUGGCCUGCCUGGACCUUGUGCUCACUCCUGGGCUUGGAUCCUGUGAUUAGCAGCCCUGACUGGGACCACAAAGUUGGAAUGGGGAAGAAAUAGCUUCUUAAAAGAAGAGGUUCCCAGGGCUGCAAAUCCUUUCAAGAUAGAAUCAGCUGAAGAUGAGUACUUUUGCUUCCAAGACUGAUGCCACCGUGACUAUACACCUAUUACCAUGAUGCAUAAUUUAAAAUGAACACUUUAUACAUUCACAAAAAGCUGUCAUUUUGAUGCAGAAAAAUUUGAGAUGAAAAAUUCAAUGGGGGCAUUGAAUAAGAAAGAAAGUGGUGAAGGAAACAGGGUCAGCAGAGAGACAAGAGAGGAGAGAGGGGACACUGGGAAGGCCUUCUGCUGCGAAUUACCCUGGCUAAGUUAGCCUCGUUAUUUAAGAUCCAUCGUGCAGAAUA
Nycticebus coucang (slow loris) is the source of this 687-nucleotide long non-coding RNA. RefSeq lists it as uncharacterized. The record is from RefSeq and is a predicted model, not a curated record. The transcript is spliced from 3 exons. NCBI's taxonomy places the organism in Eukaryota, Metazoa, Chordata, Mammalia, Primates, Lorisidae.